GUUGGAUUUAUUACUAGAUAUAUUAUUUUUGUACUAUUGUAACUGGUAUCCUUUAAAAUUAAAAUUUGCAACUGUUUUUUUGAUGGGAUAUGGAAAUGCAAUUAACUCUGAUUUAUUGAUCCUAUGACUAGCAAUCAUUUUUUGAUAAUUUUUUAUUAUAAUUUGUGGUAGAAUCUUUGAGUUUUUUUAUAUAGACAUUUAUUUAAUUUAUAAAUAAUGACAAUUUAGUCUCUUCCUUCCAAUCCGUAUACUCCUUUACUAUUUUUUUCGAUGUCCUGCAAUAGCUAAAACUCCAGCAUAAAGUAAUUAGGAAUGAAAACAUUUUAUCUCCUAGCCUUAGUCUUUUUUUUAAAAGAAAUGCUUUUAACUUUGAAGCUAUGGAGUAUUACAUUUGCUGGAGAUAUUUUUGCAGAUAUCCUUUAUUAGGUAGGCUAAGGAUGUUCUUUUCUAUUUCUUUUUGGCUACAAUUUUUUGUUUGUUUUUAUUAUAAAUGGCUUGUGAAAUUUUUUUGAAUGUUUUUCUACCUCUUUUGAAAUGACCAUAUGAUUUUUCUCUUUUAAUCUGUUAUGGGAUAAAUUGCAUUAAUAAAUCUCUAAUGGUACAACAAUCUCGACUCCUUGUAGACUCAGUUGGUCAUUAUCUUUGUAUAUAUAUCAUUUGAUACAGUUGCUUUUAUUUUGUUUAAGAUUUUUGCCUCCAUGAUGAAGAUUGAAGUUGUAUUGUAAUUUUUUCUUGUCUGGUUUUAUGUAUAAUGUUAUACUAGCUUUAUAAAGUCAGGGGAUGUUCCUCCUUUUAUACUCCCUAAAAGAGUUUACAAUUGGAAUGAUCUCUUCCUUGUAUCUUGGCAAACUUGCUUAUAAAACUGUUGGACCUAGUGUUUUCUUUGUGGGAAAAUUUUUACUAAUGAUUAUAGGCUAGAUGGUAAUCAAAUUAUUUAACAAUCUAUUAGAAUGGUUACACUAAUCAAUCAAAACUGACCAUGGCCCUACAUGAACAGUAUAGAUGUAGAAUUGCAUAUAAGCCAAAUAUAAGGCUUAUUUAUGAUUUUAAAUUUCUAGGUGAGUUUUGUAAAUUUGUAUUUUCAGAAAUUUGCCAAUUUUACUUGUUUUUAAAGUUAUUGAUAAGUUUCUUGUAAUAUUUUAUCUUUGUAGUUGCUGUUGUAUUUAUGAUUUCUUUUUCCAUUCUUAAAAUUGUAUCUGCUCUCUCCCAUCGUCCAUCGGUUUGCGUAGGGGUUGUCAAUUUUUAUAAUUAUUUCUUUUCAUGAAUCAACAUUUUUCAUGGGUUAAUCCUUUUUACCUGAAUGUAUUUACAAAAAAAAAUUAAUUUUUUGCUCUUUCUUACUGUUAUUUCCUUUAUUCUAUUUCCUUUUCGAUUGGAUUUAGAUUUUUGUUCUUUUUGUAAUCUCAACUUUUCUUUUUUUAUUAAUAUAAAUAUUAUAAGGCUAUCACUUCCUCCAUCUACCACUUUAGCUGUAUUUCAUAAACUUUCCUAUAGAAUUGUUAUUGUUGGUUCUAAUUUUCUUAUUUGCUUUUGCUUUCUUUCUGACCCAUGAACAAUUUAGAAUUAUGCUUUAAAUUUCCAAAGGUUUUUUUUUUGGGGGGGGGAGGGGCUAUGUUUUUGUUAUUAAUUGUAUUGUGAUCAGAGAACGUGUUCCAUGAUAAUGAUUCUUUGGCCUCUGGUAAGACUUACUUUAUCGGCUGAUACAUUGUCAAUUUUUAUAACUGUUCCUGGGAACAGAAAGUGUAUUCUAGUUCUUAGAUAUAGGCAUCUAUAUAUGCUUAUUAGACAUGGUUUAUUUAUUGUGAUGGUCAAAUCAUCCCUAUUAUUACUGAUAUUUUUAUCUUGUCAAUUUCUGGCAACGAUUUAUUAAAGUCUACCUCAAUAAUAGUGUAUUGUCAAUUUCCUUUUCUUGUUUUAUCAUUUUUUUUGGUUGACAUUUUUUGAAGCUAUCUUAUUAGAAGUAUGCAAGUUUACAAUUGCUUACAUCUUUCUAAUGAAUUGGACCUUCCUUAGUAGGUAAUAAACCUCUAUCUCUAGUAAUGCUGUUUGCUUUUUUCUUUUCAUUGCUGUUUGCUUUUGCUUGUAACUCUUCUGUGAACUUGUUUUACACGUGUCUCAUGUAAACAACAUGUAACAAGAUUUUGCUUUCUAUCUAAUCUGAUAAAAAGUUUGACUCACUUACCCUUAUUGUUAUUUUAAUUAUUUGAAUUUAACUUCUACUAUUUUAUUUUAUUUAUUCUAUUGUUCUGCUUUUUAAAAUUUUUUUUUGUUCUGCUUUUUUAAAUUCUUUUUUUUACCUUCUUGACUUUUUUAUUGUUUUGUGGGGUUUUUUUUCUUAAUCUGUUUAUCUCUGGAGCUUAUACCUUAUUUUUUAAUAUUUUACUAGGUGUCCUAUAAUUUUAACAUAUAUAUGUGUCUGUGUAAUUUAAUAAAAUAUAUAACUAAUAAAGUGUGUAGUUUAGUAAGUCUUGAAGUUAGUUGUGUUUUACCUUCCUGAACAAAGUAUAGACUUUCAAAUGCCUUAUUCCUAAUUAUCAACUCCCAACUUAUAUGCCAUUUUUACCAGCAUUCUAGUUGUAUAUCAUUUUUAACCUUAUUAUUAAGAUAUUACAACUGUUGUUUACCACAGUGAUUGUCUAGAUUUACCCAUGUGUUUAUUAUUUUCUUUGCUAUCUGCUUUGGAUCUGAGACCUUCUUUCUAGGAUGAGUUUUCUUCAUCCUGGGAAUAUAUCCUGUAGAAAUUCCUCUAGUGAGUAAUAGUAAACUUUCAUUUUUUAUGUUCGUCAGAAAAUGUUAUUUUUCCAUCCUGAAAGAUAGUUUUGCUGGGUAUAGAAAUCUAGGCUGUCAAUUAUUUUCUCUCUUCAUUUCGAAGAUAUUGUUACUGCCUUCUGGCAUCCAUCAUUGUUGUUAAUAAAUAUUACCAUAAGUCUGUUUUUCCUUUGUGGGUAAUCUGUAUUUUUUCCCUGACUGCUUUAAGAUUUUCUUUUUGUCUGCAUUUGACCACAACAUGUCUUGAUGUGAAUACCCUUUUAUUUCUCCUGACUUGAAUUUUUGUGGCACAUGAUAACUUUCCUUUCAUGAUAAAACAGGAGCCACUCCAAAACAGUCAAAUUUUACUCUUGCCUAUCCUUACCCCCUAACACUUCCACCUCCUUUGAAGGCAACUGUGGGAUCAUGAGGUGACAAAAACAAGAAUGGAGAAAUGGAACCCAUAUCCUUGAUAACCUCACUGAAAACAGAUUGUCUACCUCUAGACUUCAUGCUAUAGGAAAAAAAUAAUUGCCUUUUUUGCUUAAUGUAUACUCUUUUGUCAGAUAUUCUGUGACUCCAAAAUAAUCUUAAAACAUAAUACUUUAUUUUUUCCUGUGAAAUGCAACAGAACAUUGUAACACUGCUCAAAAAUGUUUUUUAAAUGACUACUAAUCGUUUUGUAUCAGGUACAUGUAGAAAUCUGUUUUAUUUUUAUGCAUAUGCCUAAAUUAAUGACUAGUAAGAAAAUAUUAAUCACUUAUUAAAGACAAUUAGU
This 3526-nucleotide long non-coding RNA is filed under the name Canis lupus familiaris (dog). RNAcentral's name for it is "lncRNA (ENSCAFG00845022943.1)". The record is from RNAcentral. Lineage: Eukaryota; Metazoa; Chordata; Mammalia; Carnivora; Canidae.